GAUGAAGAACGCAGCGAAAUGCGAUAAGUAGUGUGAAUUGCAGAAUUCAGUGAAUCAUCGAAUCUUUGAACGCGCAUUGCGCCCUUUGGUAUUCCAAAGGGCAUGCCUGUUCGAGCGUCAUUUGUACCCUCAAGCUUUGCUUGGUGUUGGGCGUCUUGUCUCUAGCUUUGCUGGAGACUCGCCUUAAAGUAAUUGGCAGCCGGCCUACUGGUUUCGGAGCGCAGCACAAGUCGCACUCUCUAUCAGCAAAGGUCUAGCAUCCAUUAAGCCUUUUUUUCAACUUUUGACCUCGGAUCAGGUAGGGAUACCCGCUGAACUUAAGCAUAUCAAUAAGCGGAGGA
This 341-nucleotide unclassified non-coding RNA is filed under the name soil metagenome. Its description in RNAcentral is "partial contains 5.8S ribosomal RNA, internal transcribed spacer 2, and large subunit ribosomal RNA". The stretch from base 1 to 120 matches the Rfam family "5.8S ribosomal RNA", at positions 35 to 154 of the family's 154-position model. The record is from RNAcentral.